Molecule: ribosomal RNA, 884 nt
Filed under: Phaeophleospora scytalidii
Lineage: Eukaryota; Fungi; Ascomycota; Dothideomycetes; Mycosphaerellales; Mycosphaerellaceae
Description: eukaryotic LSU rRNA
Rfam family: Eukaryotic large subunit ribosomal RNA
Source: RNAcentral
GCGGAGGAAAAGAAACCAACAGGGAUUGCCCUAGUAACGGCGAGUGAAGCGGCAACAGCUCAAAUUUGAAAUCUGGCGCAAGCCCGAGUUGUAAUUUGUAGAGGAUGCUUCUGGGCAGCGGCCGUUCUAAGUUCCUUGGAACAGGACGUCAUAGAGGGUGAGAAUCCCGUAUGUGACCGGCACGUACCCUUUACGUAGCUCCUUCGACGAGUCGAGUUGUUUGGGAAUGCAGCUCUAAAUGGGAGGUAAAUUCCUUCUAAAGCUAAAUACCGGCCAGAGACCGAUAGCGCACAAGUAGAGUGAUCGAAAGAUGAAAAGCACUUUGGAAAGAGAGUUAAAAAGCACGUGAAAUUGUUGAAAGGGAAGCGCUUACAACCAGACUUCGUGGCGGUGUUCCGCCGGUCUUCUGACCGGUCUACUCGCCGCCGCGAGGCCAGCAUCGUCUGGGGCCGCCGGAUAAGACCUUAGGAAUGUAGCUUGCCUCGGUAAGUGUUAUAGCCUAGGGUGAUGCGGCGUGCCUCGGGCGAGGUCCGCGCUUCGGCAAGGAUGCUGGCGUAAUGGUUGUCAGCGGCCCGUCUUGAAACACGGACCAAGGAGUCUAACAUCUAUGCGAGUGUUCGGGUGUCAAACCCCUACGCGUAAUGAAAGUGAACGGAGGUGGGAAGCGCAAGCUGCACCAUCGACCGAUCCUGAUGUCCUCGGAUGGAUUUGAGUAAGAGCAUAGCUGUUGGGACCCGAAAGAUGGUGAACUAUGCCUGAAUAGGGUGAAGCCAGAGGAAACUCUGGUGGAGGCUCGCAGCGGUUCUGACGUGCAAAUCGAUCGUCAAAUUUGGGUAUAGGGGCGAAAGACUAAUCGAACCAUCUAGUAGCUGGUUCCUGCCGAA